Labeo rohita (rohu) is the source of this 373-nucleotide long non-coding RNA. RefSeq lists it as uncharacterized. Lineage: Eukaryota; Metazoa; Chordata; Actinopteri; Cypriniformes; Cyprinidae. The record is from RefSeq and is a predicted model, not a curated record. The transcript is spliced from 4 exons.
AUUUUGGUCAUGUUAGGGCAUGUUCCAGCUCUUCAUUUUUUUUUUGGUCAGACUUACCUUUGAGAGUCAUUAUGCCAUGCCUUUGCCCUACAUCUCAUCUACAGGCUUGCAGUUUGGAUGCAUAUGGACACAGUUUCUAGUUUAGAGAUGACCAAAGACAUCUGCAGGUUUCAGACCCAAAUCAGUGCAGAAAAUGGAACAGGGAGGGGGAACAGAUGAACUGCAUGAAACACCAAUCAUGUGGAGAUGUUGCAUAAAGCUGCCAGUGCUCUGGAUGAAAGAGAUAAACAGCACAGCCACCAGCACUUCGUUUUACUGUGAUGAGCAUUUGGAGGCAAGAGAGAAGAAUUGCAUACAGCUGUGAAGCAACAAG